Molecule: transfer RNA, 69 nt
Filed under: Sargocentron rubrum (redcoat)
Lineage: Eukaryota; Metazoa; Chordata; Actinopteri; Holocentriformes; Holocentridae
Description: tRNA-His
Rfam family: tRNA
About the family: Transfer RNA (tRNA) molecules are approximately 80 nucleotides in length.
Source: RNAcentral
GUAGACAUAGUUUAACAAAAACAUUAGAUUGUGAUUCUAAAAACAGAGGUUAAAAUCCUCUUGUCCCCG